This 198-nucleotide unclassified non-coding RNA is filed under the name uncultured Polycephalomyces. Its description in RNAcentral is "sequence contains ITS1". Lineage: Eukaryota; Fungi; Ascomycota; Sordariomycetes; Hypocreales; Ophiocordycipitaceae. The record is from RNAcentral.
CCGAGUUUACAACUCCCAAACCCCAAUGUGAACCUCUACCUAACCGUUGCCUCGGCGGGAUCGCCCCGGCGCGCCCCCUCCAGGGCGUCCGGAUCACACGGCGCCCGCCGCAGGACCCCCCCAAACUCUCUUGCAUCUCCGGCGUCGUUUUCUUCUGAGUGGACUUUUUCCUCGCGAGAGCGGGGUGAAAAUGAAUCA